CACUAUCGUUAACUGAAUACAUAGGUUAACGAGGCGAACCGGGGGAACUGAAACAUCUAAGUACCCCGAGGAAAAGAAAUCAACCGAGAUUCCCCCAGUAGCGGCGAGCGAACGGGGAGCAGCCCAGAGUCUGAAUCAGCUUGUGUGUUAGUGGAACGGUCUGGAAAGUCCGACGGUACAGGGUGAUAGUCCCGUACACCAAAAUGCACAGGCUGUGAACUCGAAGAGUAGGGCGGGACACGUGGUAUCCUGUCUGAAUAUGGGGGGACCAUCCUCCAAGGCUAAAUACUCCUGACUGACCGAUAGUGAACCAGUACCGUGAGGGAAAGGCGAAAAGAACCCCGGCGAGGGGAGUGAAAAAGAACCUGAAACCGUGUACGUACAAGCAGUGGGAGCACCUUCGGGUGUGACUGCGUACCUUUUGUAUAAUGGGUCAGCGACUUAUAUUCUGUAGCAAGGUUAACCGUAUAGGGGAGCCGCAGGGAAACCGAGUCUUAACUGGGCGUUAAGUUGCAGGGUAUAGACCCGAAACCCGGUGAUCUAGCCAUGGGCAGGUUGAAGGUUGGGUAACACUAACUGGAGGACCGAACCGACUAAUGUUGAAAAAUUAGCGGAUGACUUGUGGCUGGGGGUGAAAGGCCAAUCAAACCGGGAGAUAGCUGGUUCUCCCCGAAAGCUAUUUAGGUAGCGCCUCGUGAACUCAUCUUCGGGGGUAGAGCACUGUUUCGGCUAGGGGGUCAUCCCGACUUACCAACCCGAUGCAAACUACGAAUACCGAAGAAUGUUAUCACGGGAGACACACGGCGGGUGCUAACGUCCGUCGUGAAGAGGGAAACAACCCAGACCGCCAGCUAAGGUCCCAAAGUCAUGGUUAAGUGGGAAACGAUGUGGGAAGGCACAGACAGCCAGGAUGUUGGCUUAGAAGCAGCCAUCAUUUAAAGAAAGCGUAAUAGCUCACUGGUCGAGUCGGCCUGCGCGGAAGAUGUAACGGGGCUAAACCAUGCACCGAAGCUGCGGCAGCGACACUAUGUGUUGUUGGGUAGGGGAGCGUUCUGUAAGCCUGCGAAGGUGUGCUGUGAGGCAUGCUGGAGGUAUCAGAAGUGCGAAUGCUGACAUAAGUAACGAUAAAGCGGGUGAAAAGCCCGCUCGCCGGAAGACCAAGGGUUCCUGUCCAACGUUAAUCGGGGCAGGGUGAGUCGACCCCUAAGGCGAGGCCGAAAGGCGUAGUCGAUGGGAAACAGGUUAAUAUUCCUGUACUUGGUGUUACUGCGAAGGGGGGACGGAGAAGGCUAUGUUAGCCGGGCGACGGUUGUCCCGGUUUAAGCAUGUAGGCUGAUUGUCCAGGCAAAUCCGGAUAAUCAAGGCUGAGGUGUGAUGACGAGGCACUACGGUGCUGAAGUAACAAAUGCCCUGCUUCCAGGAAAAGCCUCUAAGCAUCAGGUAACAUCAAAUCGUACCCCAAACCGACACAGGUGGUCAGGUAGAGAAUACCAAGGCGCUUGAGAGAACUCGGGUGAAGGAACUAGGCAAAAUGGUGCCGUAACUUCGGGAGAAGGCACGCUGGUGUGUAGGUGAAGUCCCUGCGGAUGGAGCUGAGACCAGUCGAAGAUACCAGCUGGCUGCAACUGUUUAUUAAAAACACAGCACUGUGCAAACACGAAAGUGGACGUAUACGGUGUGACGCCUGCCCGGUGCCGGAAGGUUAAUUGAUGGGGUUAUCCGUAAGGAGAAGCUCUUGAUCGAAGCCCCGGUAAACGGCGGCCGUAACUAUAACGGUCCUAAGGUAGCGAAAUUCCUUGUCGGGUAAGUUCCGACCUGCACGAAUGGCGUAAUGAUGGCCAGGCUGUCUCCACCCGAGACUCAGUGAAAUUGAACUCGCUGUGAAGAUGCAGUGUACCCGCGGCAAGACGGAAAGACCCCGUGAACCUUUACUAUAGCUUGACACUGAACAUUGAGCCUUGAUGUGUAGGAUAGGUGGGAGGCUUUGAAGCGUGGACGCCAGUCUGCGUGGAGCCAACCUUGAAAUACCACCCUUUAAUGUUUGAUGUUCUAACGUUGGCCCCUGACCGGGGUUGCGGACAGUGUCUGGUGGGUAGUUUGACUGGGGCGGUCUCCUCCCAAAGCGUAACGGAGGAGCACGAAGGUUAGCUAAUCCUGGUCGGACAUCAGGAGGUUAGUGCAAUGGCAUAAGCUAGCUUGACUGCGAGCGUGACGGCGCGAGCAGGUGCGAAAGCAGGUCAUAGUGAUCCGGUGGUUCUGAAUGGAAGGGCCAUCGCUCAACGGAUAAAAGGUACUCCGGGGAUAACAGGCUGAUACCGCCCAAGAGUUCAUAUCGACGGCGGUGUUUGGCACCUCGAUGUCGGCUCAUCACAUCCUGGGGCUGAAGUAGGUCCCAAGGGUAUGGCUGUUCGCCAUUUAAAGUGGUACGCGAGCUGGGUUUAGAACGUCGUGAGACAGUUCGGUCCCUAUCUGCCGUGGGCGCUGGAGAAUUGAGGGGGGCUGCUCCUAGUACGAGAGGACCGGAGUGGACGCAUCACUGGUGUUCGGGUUGUCAUGCCAAUGGCACUGCCCGGUAGCUAAAUGCGGAAGAGAUAAGUGCUGAAAGCAUCUAAGCACGAAACUUGCCCCGAGAUGAGUUCUCCCUGAGACU
RNAcentral lists this ribosomal RNA (2650 nucleotides) under Klebsiella pneumoniae. RNAcentral's name for it is "partial 23S ribosomal RNA". It matches the Rfam family "Bacterial large subunit ribosomal RNA". The record is from RNAcentral. Lineage: Bacteria; Pseudomonadati; Pseudomonadota; Gammaproteobacteria; Enterobacterales; Enterobacteriaceae.